RNAcentral lists this long non-coding RNA (1430 nucleotides) under Phasianus colchicus (ring-necked pheasant). RNAcentral describes it as "lncRNA (ENSPCLG00000008238.1)". The record is from RNAcentral. Lineage: Eukaryota; Metazoa; Chordata; Aves; Galliformes; Phasianidae.
GAACCAUGUAGCUAAAGGUUGCCCCAUCUAUGGAGAUGUCCAAAACUCAACCAGAGACAGCCCUGAGCACCCUGCUCUGGCUGACCCCACUCUGAGGACAGAGGUGACUGGAUCAUCUUCUGAGAUCCUGCUCCACCUCCAACCAAUCUGUGAAUGUGGGAGAGAGCACUGGGCUGUGCAGGGCCACAGCUGAGACUGGCUAAGGCAGCAGGAGCACUCUCAGACAUGCUGUGGUGCUGCUGGAAGGCUCCUGCACUGUGCAGACAGGCUCAGAGCUGAGCUGCUGCAACACAUCCACCUCCAGGCACUGUGGUGGUGAGGCUGUUCUCCCUGGAGGAGGCAAGGCUGUGAAGCAACCCAUGGAAUUUAAGCAUCAAAAGCCACAUGAGCAUCAGGUGUCAAGCCUGACCAGCUGGUGGUAAUGAUAAAGUUAUUUUGCAAAACAACAGUGAACUGUCUGGGGAUGUUUUGUUUUUCUAGCUGCCUUCUUGUUGCUGCCCCAAAGAUUUGUGGUGAAGGACACAUGUUCACAUCUCCCAUUGUACCUGCUUGUGCCUCAAGUGCUUGGCAGCACUGUUCUCAUCUCUAAAGGAGCUCCUUGUUGUCUGUGUAAUCUCUGCCUGGAUUAAGUGGCAAAAGGCGAAUCCUCAGCUUAUGGGAAGAGCACACUUGACCUCUGCCUCCUCAGAGCUGCACUCUCCCUGGGGAGGAAGUGUUGGCUCAGCCCUGAACAAAGCACUGGCUGUAAGGAGUGAGACUUUCUUGCCCUAGCAGUGUGGGGUUGGGCCUGGGGUCAGAUCUAUGCUGCAGUGAGAAGGAAGAGACAGAAGACCCAGUGACCUGGAAGUUUAGAAGUAGCCAGCUCAACUUACUGAGAAAUGUGAAGCCACAUGAACUCCUCCAUCAGCAGAAAUAUACUGUCGGGGCAGGUGGUCCUACUGGUACAUCUAGAUAUGAAUUUUCUUAGCAAGAUGCAAAUGAAUUUGUUUUCCUAUUUUCCAACCCAUUCUCCUCUGUUGUGUCUUGCAGUACUUCCUGCCCUGAGUUGUGGUGCAUUCUUUGCAGGUUCUUCAAGUCCCAUGGAAGACAUCAUUGGCAGUAAACUGUGCUGUUGUAUGGGCUUAAGAUGCUACAUGUGCUCAGUGAUAUCUGUGCAGAGCUCAGCCAUAGGAGAAAUGAAGAGGUCUCCCCUUCAGGGGCGGGCAGUGCAGGAGAAGGGAGCAGAACAGCGAGCACUGCAGGACAAGAGCAUUGCCUUACCUGCAGGUGGACCAGCAGAUGGAAGGUGAGUGCAGACUGCAGACUCUGCCAUCUGUCAGCCAAGCUGCUGUUGAGUGUCAGUAGGGGAAAGAGUGGUUUUAAGGAGUACAUCUAUAUCUAGUGUCACUUGCUUUACCACUGGGAGAAGGUUUGCUUGUCAGCUGCUGUGA